Molecule: non-coding RNA, 73 nt
Organism: Bos taurus (domestic cattle)
Lineage: Eukaryota; Metazoa; Chordata; Mammalia; Artiodactyla; Bovidae
Source: Rfam
UCCUUGGUGGUCCAGUGGAUAAGACUCUGUGCUUUCAAUGCUGGGGUCCUGGGUUCAAUCCCCAGUAAGGGAA